UCGUAAAUAAAAUGUUAAUUAUCUCACAAUCGAUCAGUGCAAAUUUUGACGUAAUUUUUGAAUAGUGAGUUAAAUAUUUUUGAGUUCGAAGUUUUUACGCGAAACUAAUACAUCAUCGCGACCAAGAAAGUUGUAUAGCACAAAAAGACUUCAUGAAAACAUCAAUAUGACCAGUAGAUAGAAAACCCGAAU
Nymphalis io (European peacock) is the source of this 192-nucleotide long non-coding RNA. RefSeq lists it as uncharacterized. The transcript has 3 exons. Lineage: Eukaryota; Metazoa; Arthropoda; Insecta; Lepidoptera; Nymphalidae. The record is from RefSeq and is a predicted model, not a curated record.